This 253-nucleotide ribosomal RNA is filed under the name uncultured bacterium. Its description in RNAcentral is "partial 16S ribosomal RNA". It matches the Rfam family "Bacterial small subunit ribosomal RNA", at positions 524 to 776 of the family's 1533-position model. The record is from RNAcentral.
UACGUAGGCAGCGAGCGUUGUUCGGAGUUACUGGGCGUAAAGCGUGCGUAGGCGGUUUUGUAAGUUUGGUGUGAAAUCUCCCGGCUCAACUGGGAGGGUGCGCCGAAAACUGCAAGGCUGGAGUAUGGGAGAGGUAGGCGGAAUUCCUGGUGUAGCGGUGAAAUGCGUAGAUAUCAGGAGGAACACCUGUGGUGUAGACGGCUUACUGGACCAUGACUGACGCUGAGGCACGAAAGCGUGGGGAGCAAACAGG